GACGAACGCUGGCGGCGUGCUUAACACAUGCAAGUCGAACGAAGUGGCGAACGGGUGAGUAACGCGUAUAAAACCUGCCAUUCAGGGGGGGACAACAGUUGGAAACGACUGCAAAUACCGUAUACUGAAGGGGGUGUGUGCGUUUGAUUAGCUAAUUGGGGGGGAAACGGCCAACCAAGGCGAUGAUCAGUCGCCGGUCUGGGAGGGUGAACGGCCACACUGGGACUGGGACACGGCCCAGACUCCUACGGGAGGCAGCAGUAGGGAAUCUUCCGCAAUGGACGAAAGGCUGACGGAGCAACGCCGCGUGAGUGAUGAAGGCCUUCGGGUUGUAAAGCUCUGUUAAUCGGGACGCGGUACCGGAAUAGAAAGCGACGGCUAACUACGUGCCAGCAGCCGCGGUAAUUC
RNAcentral lists this ribosomal RNA (408 nucleotides) under uncultured bacterium. Its description in RNAcentral is "partial 16S ribosomal RNA". It matches the Rfam family "Bacterial small subunit ribosomal RNA", at positions 28 to 526 of the family's 1533-position model. The record is from RNAcentral.